GUUCUGCCAGAAGCCGAUGGUGGCCGUCUGGCCGUGCGAGACCUGUCCGCCUUCAAGCGGCCGUUCGCCGAAGUUGUAGUUCUCGCCAUACGAGCCCGGAUCGGGCAGGACGAUGUCCGAGAUGGUGUCGUUGACGGAGUUGUCGCCAACGAUCACGCCAUCGACGGUCCCGACGAUGUCGAGCCCGUCAUGGAAGCCGGCCGGCUGAAUCUCGGUGAGUGUGUAGGUGCCCGGGCGCAGG
Molecule: ribosomal RNA, 241 nt
Filed under: uncultured eukaryote
Lineage: Eukaryota
Description: partial small subunit ribosomal RNA
Source: RNAcentral